RNAcentral lists this ribosomal RNA (826 nucleotides) under uncultured Staphylococcus sp. RNAcentral's name for it is "bacterial SSU rRNA". It matches the Rfam family "Bacterial small subunit ribosomal RNA", at positions 81 to 893 of the family's 1533-position model. Lineage: Bacteria; Bacillati; Bacillota; Bacilli; Caryophanales; Staphylococcaceae. The record is from RNAcentral.
CUCCUUUGACGUUAGCGGCGGACGGGUGAGUAACACGUGGGUAACCUACCUAUAAGACUGGGACAACUUCGGGAAACCGGAGCUAAUACCGGAUAAUAUGUUGAACCGCAUGGUUCAAUAGUGAAAGAUGGUUUUGCUAUCACUUAUAGAUGGACCCGCGCCGUAUUAGCUAGUUGGUGAGGUAACGGCUCACCAAGGCAACGAUACGUAGCCGACCUGAGAGGGUGAUCGGCCACACUGGAACUGAGACACGGUCCAGACUCCUACGGGAGGCAGCAGUAGGGAAUCUUCCGCAAUGGGCGAAAGCCUGACGGAGCAACGCCGCGUGAGUGAUGAAGGUCUUAGGAUCGUAAAACUCUGUUAUUAGGGAAGAACAAACGUGUAAGUAACUGUGCACGUCUUGACGGUACCUAAUCAGAAAGCCACGGCUAACUACGUGCCAGCAGCCGCGGUAAUACGUAGGUGGCAAGCGUUAUCCGGAAUUAUUGGGCGUAAAGCGCGCGUAGGCGGUUUUUUAAGUCCGAUGUGAAAGCCCACGGCUCAACCGUGGAGGGUCAUUGGAAACUGGAAAACUUGAGUGCAGAAGAGGAAAGUGGAAUUCCAUGUGUAGCGGUGAAAUGCGCAGAGAUAUGGAGGAACACCAGUGGCGAAGGCGACUUUCUGGUCUGUAACUGACGCUGAUGUGCGAAAGCGUGGGGAUCAAACAGGAUUAGAUACCCUGGUAGUCCACGCCGUAAACGAUGAGUGCUAAGUGUUAGGGGGUUUCCGCCCCUUAGUGCUGCAGCUAACGCAUUAAGCACUCCGCCUGGGGAGUACGACCGCAAGU